AGCUCCAAUAGCGUAUAUUAAAGUUGCUGCAGUUAAAAAGCUCGUAGUUGCAUUUCCGAGGCAAGGGAUUAGUCCGACCUUUGGUGGGUAUUUAAUCCUCUUGCCUCGUCCUUGAGUGGUGCUUCUUGGUAUUAAGUUAUCGAGGAGAUAGCCGCUCAUCGUUUACUGUGAGAAAAUUAGAGUGUUCAAAGCAGGCUUAUGCCGUUGAAUAUAUUAGCAUGGAAUAAUAAGAUAGGACCUCGGUACUAUUUUGGUGGGUUGAGAACCAAGGUAAUGAUGAAUAGGGACAGUUGGGGGUAUUCGUAUUCAGUUGUCAGAGGUGAAAUUCUUAGAUUUACGGAAGACGAACUACUGCGAAAGCAUUUACCAAGGAUGUUUUCA
Molecule: ribosomal RNA, 381 nt
Filed under: uncultured marine Chaetocerotaceae
Lineage: Eukaryota; Bacillariophyta; Thalassiosirophyceae; Chaetocerotales; Chaetocerotaceae
Description: SSU rRNA
Rfam family: Eukaryotic small subunit ribosomal RNA
Source: RNAcentral